Molecule: ribosomal RNA, 252 nt
Filed under: uncultured bacterium
Lineage: Bacteria
Description: partial 16S ribosomal RNA
Rfam family: Bacterial small subunit ribosomal RNA
Source: RNAcentral
UACGUAGGGUGCAAGCGUUGUCCGGAAUUAUUGGGCGUAAAGAGCUCGUAGGCGGUUUGUUGCGUCGGCUGUGAAAUCCCGAGGCUCAACCUCGGGUCUGCAGUCGAUACGAGCAAACUAGAGUGUUGCAGGGAGACUGGAAUUCCUGGUGUAGCGGUGAAAUGCGCAGAUAUCAGGAGGAACACCGGUGGCGAAGGCGGGUCUCUGGGCCGAUACUGACGCUGAGGAGCGAAAGCGUGGGGAGCGAACAGG